GAGCAUCCUUUCUAAACCCCCCAGUUGACAUUUGUGGUCUCUGGGACAAAAAAGGAUGCAAGAUCAAUCUUAGAAUCAUCCAAAGCUGAGAGCCUGUUGUCAGUAGCUCUUGGUUAUUUCACCUCUAAGACAGAA
This is a small nucleolar RNA of Monopterus albus (swamp eel), 135 nucleotides long. Lineage: Eukaryota; Metazoa; Chordata; Actinopteri; Synbranchiformes; Synbranchidae. The record is from Ensembl.